UUGAGGCUCAGAGAAAUCAACUGGUCCAGCCAAUCUGGGCAGAGCACCUGGGUUUCUGUGAUUCCAAAGCCUCAUGCCACGAUGGAAGCUAUUUUAACUUGGUCAAAAUUCUGGAGCAAUUCAGUGGAACCUGGAAUCUGUGAAGCACUGUUGUAGCAGAAAGUUCUCGACUCGGGGGCCUCGGGGGAGAGGGCAACAGGGACCUUGCCCUGCGCACAGGUGCAGGAUCAAGGGCCUGGAGCCAGGGAAAGAGGAAGGCAUGAGAGGAGUUUGGAGAAGCACAGCUCCGAGACCCAGGGAUGCUCCUGAAGGAGACAGCUGCAUUUCUAAGUCAACUAACAGAAGGUUCUUGGGCUCUAAGGUGACCAGCUCGUCCUACUGCCUUUGGUUUUUCUGAUUUUAGCCUGGAAUGUUGUAUGUCCUUUUGU
Molecule: non-coding RNA, 428 nt
Organism: Odocoileus virginianus texanus
Lineage: Eukaryota; Metazoa; Chordata; Mammalia; Artiodactyla; Cervidae
Source: RefSeq, a predicted model, not a curated record